This 515-nucleotide long non-coding RNA is filed under the name Homo sapiens (human). RNAcentral describes it as "HSALNT0024788". Lineage: Eukaryota; Metazoa; Chordata; Mammalia; Primates; Hominidae. The record is from RNAcentral.
CUUGCCUGCAGUAACCAGCCUCCAACGUGACCCCCAGUGAUCCCCACUUUCUGAUAUUCAUACCCUGUGUAACUCCCUUCCAUAUUGGGCCAGGAUCGCUUACUGGGGGGAAGCCAGCUGCCGUGUCAUGAGUGCCCACUGUGGAAAUGAACUGAAACCUCCUGCCGACAGCCACCCAGGUGAGCUUGGAAUUGGAUGCUCCAGUCCAGCCAAACCCUCAGUUUACUGUAACCCCAGUUGACAGCUUGGCUACUACCUCCCGGGACACCCUGAAGCAGAACCACCCAGCUAAGCUCCUCCUGAAUUCCUGACUCACAGAAACUAUGCAAGAUAAUAAAUAUUUGUUGUUUUAUCUCUUUAAGUUUUGCGGUAAUUUGUUAUGAAGCAAUAAAUAACUAAUAGACUACCCAUGAAUUAAUUCUUUUACUAAUUCAUUUAUUCAACAAGUACCUGUUAAAGUCUACAGUCUUUCAAUCUCUGUAACACACUUCAGUGCGAUAAUAAAACAAUAUAUC